CUCUAUAGAGGGCUUUGUAGGA
RNAcentral lists this microRNA (22 nucleotides) under Heligmosomoides polygyrus. Its description in RNAcentral is "hpo-miR-10143-5p". Lineage: Eukaryota; Metazoa; Nematoda; Chromadorea; Rhabditida; Heligmosomidae. The record is from miRBase by way of RNAcentral.